AUUCUACUCCCUCAGUUGCACAAUACAUGCCUUCUAUUUGUUAAAAUAUAUAUGUAGCUAGACAUGUUUUAGUAUAUAGGUACAUCCAUUUUUGGACAAAUGGAAGUCAAGUAUUUUGGACCGGAGGGAGUACACA
Triticum aestivum (bread wheat) is the source of this 136-nucleotide non-coding RNA. Lineage: Eukaryota; Viridiplantae; Streptophyta; Magnoliopsida; Poales; Poaceae. The record is from Rfam.